GACGAACGCUGGCGGCGUGCCUAAUACAUGCAAGUCGAGCGGACUUAAAAGGAGCUUGCUCCUUUUAAGUUAGCGGCGGACGGGUGAGUAACACGUGGGCAACCCGCCCUAUAGUUUGGGAUAACUCCGGGAAACCGGGGCUAAUACCGAAUAAUACAUUUUAACUCCUGUUAGAAUGUGGAAAGAUGGUUUACGCUAUCGCUAUAGGAUGGGCCCGCGGCGCAUUAGCUAGUAGGUGAGGUAACGGCUCACCUAGGCGACGAUGCGUAGCCGACCUGAGAGGGUGAUCGGCCACACUGGGACUGAGACACGGCCCAGACUCCUACGGGAGGCAGCAGUAGGGAAUCUUCCACAAUGGACGAAAGUCUGAUGGAGCAACGCCGCGUGAGUGAAGAAGGUUUUCGGAUCGUAAAACUCUGUUGUAAGGGAAGAACAAGUGCAGUAGUAACUGGCUGCACCUUGACGGUACCUUAUUAGAAAGCCACGGCUAACUACGUGCCAGCCGCCGCCGUAA
RNAcentral lists this ribosomal RNA (514 nucleotides) under uncultured bacterium. RNAcentral's name for it is "partial 16S ribosomal RNA". It matches the Rfam family "Bacterial small subunit ribosomal RNA", at positions 28 to 523 of the family's 1533-position model. The record is from RNAcentral.